GGACUACCGGGGUAUCUAAUCCCAUUCGCGACCCACGCUUUCGUGUUAGAGCGUCAGGAGCGGCCCAGUCUCUUGCCUUCGCUUUUGGUGUUCCCCUAGAUAUCAACGCAUUUCACCGCUACACCUAGAGUUCCAGAGACCUCUGCCGUCCUCAAGUUUCGCCGUUUCCCACGCGAGCCUCUCGGUUGAGCCGAAAGAUUUAACGCAAGACUAACGAAACCGCCUACACACCCUUUACGCCCAAUGAUUCCGGAUAACGCUCGAAGCACUCGUAUUACCGCGGCUGCUGGCAC
Molecule: ribosomal RNA, 293 nt
Filed under: uncultured bacterium
Lineage: Bacteria
Description: partial 16S ribosomal RNA
Source: RNAcentral